CACGCCCUAAACGAUGUNUACUAGUUGUCGGGGAUUAAUUUCCUUGGUAACGCAGCUAACGCGUGAAGUAGACCGCCUGGGGAGUACGGUCGCAAGAUUAAAACUCAAAGGAAUUGACGGGGACCCGCACAAGCGGUGGAUGAUGUGGAUUAAUUCGAUGCAACGCGAAAAACCUUACCUACGCUUGACAUGUCCGGAACCCUGAAGAGAUUUGGGGGUGCUCGAAAGAGAGCCGGAACACAGGUGCUGCAUGUCUGUCGUCAGCUCGUGUCGUGAGAUGUUGGGUUAAGUCCCGCAACGAGCGCAUCCCUUAUCAUUAGUUGCUACGCAAGGGCACUCUAAUGAGACUGCCGGUGACAAACCGGAGGAAGGUGGGGAUGACGUCAAGUCCUCAUGGCCCUUAUGUGUAGGGCUUCACACGUCAUACAAUGGUCGGUACAGAGGGUUGCGAAGCCGCGAGGUGGAGCCGAUUCCAAAAAACCGAUCGUAGUCCGGAUUGCAGUCUGCAACUCGACUGCAUGAAGUCGGAAUCGCUAGUAAUCGCGGAUCAGCAUGCCGCGGUGAAUACGUUCCC
Molecule: ribosomal RNA, 574 nt
Filed under: uncultured bacterium
Lineage: Bacteria
Description: bacterial SSU rRNA
Rfam family: Bacterial small subunit ribosomal RNA
Source: RNAcentral